RNAcentral lists this ribosomal RNA (253 nucleotides) under uncultured bacterium. Its description in RNAcentral is "partial 16S ribosomal RNA". It matches the Rfam family "Bacterial small subunit ribosomal RNA", at positions 524 to 776 of the family's 1533-position model. The record is from RNAcentral.
UACGGGGGGGGCAAGCGUUGUUCGGAAUUACUGGGCGUAAAGGGUGCGUAGGCGGCUCUCUAAGUCGGAUGUGAAAACUCUGGGCUCAACCCAGAGCCUGCAUCCGGAACUGGAGGGCUAGGGUUCUGGAGGGGAAAGCGGAAUUCCUGGUGUAGCGGUGAAAUGCGUAGAUAUCAGGAGGAACACCGGUGGCGAAGGCGGCUUUCUGGACAGAUACCGACGCUGAGGCACGAAAGCUAGGGGAGCAAACAGG